Molecule: ribosomal RNA, 375 nt
Filed under: Triticum aestivum (bread wheat)
Lineage: Eukaryota; Viridiplantae; Streptophyta; Magnoliopsida; Poales; Poaceae
Description: partial small subunit ribosomal RNA
Source: RNAcentral
AUGCGGCUCAAAUUUGAAACCGUGCCUGAAGAAGAACGGUUUAACCGUUGUAAACGAUCACUUUUAUUCGUCGUGAAUGAACGGCCAUGCCUGCCUGCAAACUUGCAUAGCCCUCGUGGAAAAGAUACCAUGAAUGUUUGCUUUGGGCAAAGCAUCGGGAUAAAGCCGGGGAUGCCUUUGGGUGAAAGCUGUGGAGGUUGGUCACGCGCGGGCUCAUCAAAAGCUUUGUGUUUAGUCCAGGUUUGGUGCAGGUUUGGUCGUGGUGGGUUUUGGAAGAGCGUCAAGAUGCAAAAGAUGGGACCAGAGUUGACGGCUCUGAACGAGCUUUGCCAAGGAUCUCUGUCGUUCUCGUGUGGUUUAUUUUCUUGGAUCUGA